UGAUAUUUUAUUCAGCCCUCCAUUAUAACAUAAUAAACAAAGGAGUCACUGGAAAAAUUCCUUUAACGUGUAUUGUUUCCAGCUCGCCAUUUUUAGAUGACACUCCAGGCACUACCAACAGCAAUCUCACAAAGUCCCAGGAUGGUCUUCCCUCUGACAAUUCUUGUCCUUCCUGGACCUUAAGCAACACUUGCCUGUUUGGAUUGCCUUGGAUCCCAUACUUCCAAGACUCCUCGACGAAGCCAUCCUACCAGUCACUUCUACCUAAAAUGCCUCAUUCUUUAGUCCAUGAGAGUGCAAACGUGGCUACAUUCUAGGUGUUCUAGGUGAUUCUGUGAUAAUCUUGACAACUCGGUUGCUGAAGCAUUCUUAAAUUUAAUUUUUAAACCAAUCGCUAUAGAUUUUGGAACUUUCCUGUGCCACCUCCUGAGACGCCACCUAGAAGUUAGGGUUGAGACAGUGCCUAAUGUGUCGUGUUUUUAGGAAGUGUUUCUUUUAAGCGAUGUGGCAAUAUAGCCCUUGCACAUUCUCUUAUGAUAAGACAUUUGUAUAUAAUUUUUAUGUGGAGAUAAUUUUACAAAUAAAAUCUGCUGUGUCUUUGUGGCUAUACUUCUUGAUGUCUGAGGAAUAACCUCAGAAUAGGGCCUAAGCUGAGAGGUUGGUGUGGAAGUAUCGUUGUCACCCACCCCACUGUUAGUAGCUGUUCAAGAAACCGCUUACAGAGGUACUGCUGGUUACGCCUGGUAAUGCGUUGGAAUUCUUUUAGUUUAACUUCUUAUGGUGAGUGGAGAUGAGGUUGGAAAAAAGAGUUGAUAAAGGACUUUCAGAAAGUUAAGCGAGUGAUUCACGCCUGCCACUUAAUUAAGCACACCUUCACGCCAGGAACCUUGCUCAAUAUUAGCUACUGUAUUAGUCUCUUUUAAAACCAAUCUUGGACUUGGAAUCCUUGUCUCAGAGCCUGAUUCUGUUCAGAUUACAUGCCACUCACUAGCUUUGUGAAUCGGCAGAUUAUUUAACUCCUCCAUGUAUCACUUGAUCAUCUGUAAGAUGGGAAUAAAAUAUCUACCUCCUAGGACUGUUUUAGUGACUAAAUGAGUUAAUUUAUAAAAAACUUUUAGA
Molecule: non-coding RNA, 1119 nt
Organism: Equus caballus (horse)
Lineage: Eukaryota; Metazoa; Chordata; Mammalia; Perissodactyla; Equidae
Source: RefSeq, a predicted model, not a curated record